This 1474-nucleotide ribosomal RNA is filed under the name Craugastor bocourti (Bocourt's robber frog). Its description in RNAcentral is "partial 16S ribosomal RNA". It matches the Rfam family "Bacterial large subunit ribosomal RNA", at positions 425 to 2687 of the family's 2925-position model. Lineage: Eukaryota; Metazoa; Chordata; Amphibia; Anura; Craugastoridae. The record is from RNAcentral.
CCAAAAAUCUAGCCUUAAUUAACCUAAUGACUUACUUGCAAUUUUACCCGCAAACCAAAAUAUUCCAAGAACCUAGUAAAGAAGAUUGAAAACUGAAUUAGAGCUAUUAAAGUACCGCAAGGGAAAGAUGAAAUAAUAAUGAAAACUCAAGCACAAAAAAGUAGAGCUUCACCCUCGUACCUUUUGCAUCAUGAUUUAACUAGUCUAACCAAGCAAAAAGACUUUAAGUUUGACACCCCGAAACUAAGCGAGCUACUUCGAGGCAGCUAAAAGAGCCAACCCAUCUCUGUUGCAAAAGAGUGGGAAGACCCCCAAGUAGAAGUGACAGACCUACCGAGCUUAGUGAUAGCUGGUUACUCAAUAAAAGAAUUUUAGUUCAGCCUAAAGACACACCAAUAAACCAAAAAUAACCUCUUUAGAGCUAUUCAAAUAAGGAACAGCUUAUUUGAAACAGGACACAGCCUACACCGAUGGGUAUUGGCCUCCCCCCAACUAAGUAGGCUUAAGAGCAGCCACCUUUAUAAAUGCGUCACAGCUUGAUUACCCCAAUUCCCCCACAUCCCACACAACACACAGAACCCUCCACCACCAUUGAGUAACUCUAUAUUAAUAUAGAAAAUUUUAUGUUAAAACUAGUAACAAGAAGCAGGCCUUCUCCUAUAUACAAACAUAUGCCAGAAAGGACAACCCACUGGCAAUUAACGGCCCUAACCCUAAUGACACCCUAACAAGAAAAACUCAAUUUUAAAACCGUUAACCUAACACAAGAGUAUAUCAAGAAAGAUUAAAAGGGAGAGAAGGAACUCGGCAAACUCAGAUCCCGCCUGUUUACCAAAAACAUCGCCUCUUGGUAUACAAUAAGAGGUCCAGCCUGCCCAGUGACUCAUGUUAAACGGCCGCGGUAUACUAACCGCGCGAAGGUAGCACAAUCACUUGCCUCUUAAAUGGAGGCCAGUAUGAAAGGCAUUACGAGGAUUAAACUGUCUCCCCCCCCCAAUCAGUGAAACUAAUCUCCCUGUGAAAAAGCAGGGAUAACCCCAUAAGACGAGAAGACCCUAUGGAGCUUUAAACAACAUAACAAUUGCCGCACACCCCGACUUCCGGAAGCCCCACCACACCGCAUAUUGAUUAUAAGUUUUUGGUUGGGGUGACCGCGGAGAAAAAAAUACCCUCCACAAUGAAAUACCUAAAGUUUAAGCCAAGAGCAAACAACUCCACGAAUCAACAAAUUGACAUCAAUUGACCCAAGUAUUUGAUCAAUGAACCAAGUUACCCUAGGGAUAACAGCGCAAUCUACUUUAAGAGUACAUAUCGACAAGUAGGCUUACGACCUCGAUGUUGGAUCAGGAUAUCCCAGUGGUGCAGCCGCUACUAAAGGUUCGUUUGUUCAACGAUUAAUAUCCUACGCGAUCUGAGUUCAGACCGGAGCAAUCCAGGUCGGUUUCUAUCUAUGAAGAGCAUUCCCUAGUACGAA